Molecule: ribosomal RNA, 457 nt
Filed under: uncultured bacterium
Lineage: Bacteria
Description: partial 16S ribosomal RNA
Rfam family: Bacterial small subunit ribosomal RNA
Source: RNAcentral
CCUACGGGAGGCAGCAGUGGGGAAUAUUGCACAAUGGGGGAAACCCUGAUGCAGCGACGCCGCGUGAGUGAAGAAGUAUUUCGGUAUGUAAAGCUCUAUCAGCAGGGAAGAAACCUACCCUCCGGGGUGGCUGACGUCACCUGACUAAGAAGCCCCGGCUAACUACGUGCCAGCAGCCGCGGUAAUACGAAGGGGGCACGCGUUAUUCGGAUUUACGGGGUGGUAAGGGAGGGUAGGUGGCAAGGCAAGUCAGAGGUGAAAACCCGGGGCCCAACCCCAGGAGUGCAUUUGAGACUGGCUGUCUAGAGUGCAGGAGAGGUAGGUGGAAUUCGUGGUGUAGCGGUGAAAUGCAUAGAUAUUAGGAAGAACACCAGUGGCGAAGGCAGCUUACUGGACUGUAACUGACACUGAGGCUCGAAAGCGUGGGGAGCAAACAGGAUUAGAUACCCCAGUAGUC